Molecule: ribosomal RNA, 494 nt
Filed under: uncultured bacterium
Lineage: Bacteria
Description: partial 16S ribosomal RNA
Rfam family: Bacterial small subunit ribosomal RNA
Source: RNAcentral
GACGAACGCUGGCGGCGUGCCUAAUACAUGCAAGUCGAACGGGGUUAUUUAGCUGAAGCCUUCGGGCAGACGCUUUUUAACCUAGUGGCGGACGGGUGAGUAACGCGUGGGCAACCUGCCCUUUAGCCCGGGAUAACUUCCGGAAACGGGAGCUAAUCCCGGAUGCAGAGAGAAUGUCGCAUGACGAUCUCUCGAAAGCUUCGGCGCUAAAGGAUGGGCCCGCGUCCCAUUAGCUAGUUGGUAGGGUAACGGCCUACCAAGGCGACGAUGGGUAGCCGGCCGGAGAGGGUGAACGGCCACACUGGGACUGAGACACGGCCCAGACUCCUAAGGGAGGCAGCAGUAGGGAAUCUUGCGCAAUGGGCGAAAGCCUGACGCAGCGACGCCGCGUGAGGGAUGAAGGCCUUCGGGUCGUAAACCUCUGUCCUUGGGGACGAUAAUGACGGUACCCAAGGAGGAAGCCCCGGCUAACUACGUGCCAGCCGCCGCCGUAA